RNAcentral lists this ribosomal RNA (438 nucleotides) under Acanthamoeba genotype T4. RNAcentral describes it as "SSU rRNA". It matches the Rfam family "Eukaryotic small subunit ribosomal RNA", at positions 738 to 1116 of the family's 1831-position model. Lineage: Eukaryota; Discosea; Longamoebia; Acanthamoebidae. The record is from RNAcentral.
UGGCCCAAGAUCGUUUACCGUGAAAAAAUUAGAGUGUUCAAAGCAGGCAGAUCCAAUUUUCUGCCACCGAAUACAUUAGCAUGGGAUAAUGGAAUAGGACCCUGUCCUCCUAUUUUCAGUUGGUUUUGGCAGCGCGAGGACUAGGGUAAUGAUUAAUAGGGAUAGUUGGGGGCAUUAAUAUUUAAUUGUCAGAGGUGAAAUUCUUGGAUUUAUGAAAGAUUAACUUCUGCGAAAGCAUCUGCCAAGGAUGUUUUCAUUAAUCAAGAACGAAAGUUAGGGGAUCGAAGACGAUCAGAUACCGUCGUAGUCUUAACCAUAAACGAUGCCGACCAGCGAUUAGGAGACGUUGAAUACAAAACACCACCAUCGGUUGCGCGGUCAUCCUUGGCGUCUCGGUUUCGGCCGGGGCGCGGGGAUGGCUAGCCCGGUGGACUCACU